GAAGAAAAAAGAAGAGGGUUGAGUCUGAAUCAAGACAGAAAAAAGAAAAGGGGUUGAGUCUGAGUCAAGAAAGAGACCAGAAGAAUGCCCAGUCUGAGUCAAGACAGAGAAAAGAAGAGGGACGAGUCUGAGUCAAGACAAGGAAAAGAAAAGGGGUUGAGUCUGAGUCAAGACAGAAACCAGAAUAGGGUUGAGUCUGAGUCAAGACAGAGACCAAAAGAAGGCUGAGUCUGAGUCAAGACAGAGACCAGAAGAGCAUUGAGUCUGAUCUUGACUGAGUCAAGACCAAGACCAUGAAUAUAUGGUCUAAGACAGGAUUUGAAUAACCCUGGUCUAAGACUUGGACUUGUGUACUACAACACAGAAUUUUGGUCAUUUUUGGGUGAGCUGUAUCUUUAAUAGCUAUAAGCCACAAACAGAAAUAGAAUUUCACAGUUCAGUCUUGUUUGAGGAUGUGGAAUUGUUUAGUGUGUAUGAAACGCCUAAUACAGUGACAGUUCCUGUCUGUUGUUUACAAUAGUCAAAAGGUCACUUCGGUUUUUGUUUUUGCUGUUGUUGAUUCCUGUAAUUUCAGUUUGAAGAAUACAGAUAAUUAGACUGAGUUUUAGGGUUCUUAAUUUCCAAAAUUUUUGUUUUCCCUUAUUUUAUUACAAAACAUUGCUAACUUCCAUGAAGUUGUUGGGAUAUUUUGUAUCAGUUUUUAAUUGUUUGGUCAAAAUUUUGAAAGUACAAUCAACCCUACAGUAUCUACAGACCAUCAUGUUUUUGAGGAUUAUUUCCUGCUUGAUUAAGAGAAAACAGAGGGAAAAUAAUCACAGUAACUUCAAGAUUGCUGGUGUUUUCAUGUAGUUUUGUGCACUGUAGUGUUCCUGAAAGGAGAUGAAAACUGUGUAAAAGUGCAUGGAAAAACUUUCCCAUUUAAAAUAGCAUUUCCGUAUCUAAUUUAUGACAGGGUUGUUUUUUUGUUUAAUACUUUUCUCCGGUCACUGAUUUCUCUUUUGUUAAACAUAUUGACUGGACCAGUUAAGUGUGUGUAUUAAGUUUGAAUUAGUGUAUGAAUGUGCAUAUUGUCUUAAGCCUGAACAAAAUAUGAAUAUGAAUGCAUUAUCACUGAAGACUGUUAAUCACGGUUUUACUUAUGUGGUAUUAGUGUUUUUCCACUUAAAAUGAGAAAUGUGGAGUGAAUCUUCCUGGUCUGGGCUCAAGCGCUGUCUCAUUAAAUCUCAUUUUGCCUCCUGCAGUCGAAGCGGUUUUCGACAAGCGAUGUUACAGCUGCACAUUUUUUGCGAAAUGCUUUUUGAACGAUAUACAGAAAUUUUUAAUGGAUGAGUCCUAGUAUGUUUAAGCAUAACAUCUUGUUGAGUUAGUGCACAUGUAAAGAUUUUUGCCUUUAUUUUUGGUUUAUCUUCUAUUUGUUGGGCCUCAUCUGAUAUGAGAGUUUCAAAAAUGGCGCUGGGUUGGUAACGAUACAAGUUUCCAUUCUAAGUUUCUCUCUAGCUAUCAAAUUGCCUUUAAAAUGUCACUUUUCCUAUAUUAUCACCCGUUGCAAUGCAGCAAAGCCUUAUUAGUACAUGUCUGACUCGUUUAUCUGCCCAGCUCAGCCCUGUAUCAUGCAUGCUGCCUUUGGCAAAGAGGUUCUUUGGCAGAGGAAGUAUGAUUGUGUAGUUGUGUCACACAACACCCUAGUGCUGUGAAUGUCCUGCACUGUAUCUUGCAUUUUACUCACUUCCUAUGGCACUUACCGUCUGCUUGUAUGGAUUAAUAUCAUGAUUGUUAUUGUUUUUCUAUCCAUAGUUCUGUAGUUUUUUUUUCCUUGGAAAUGUCAGUUUUAUUUGCAUUUAAAUUUUAAAAAUUUGCUUAGCUGUAAUAAUGGGGCAGGACGUGUUUGGUUGUGAUGAUGCUUGUUUUUGUCCUGUAUGCAACUGCAAAAACGAACUGAUGUGUUGGAUAUUUUUACGUCUGUAUUAGACAUUUUAUUUGCAAAUCUAUUGUUCGAUUCAUUUGUAAAUGAAUAGAAGAUGGGCAUCCGUCAUUUUAUACAACCAGAGCCAUCAUUAGAUGGACAUACUGCACAUUUUUAUGAUAUAUAAUCAGAUAUACGAGGCUAUUUAUGGUCACAGAGAGAAAGAGUCUAAAAGUCAGGAAUAUCUUUUGAUGAAAUAAUAGUAGAAAUUAUUUAUAUUGCAUUUGUUUCUUUUUAAAUACCACCGGGCAAAGAUUACCCUUUUGCUUGUGGCAAUGCAAGGAAGAAUAUAUAGAGAUGUAGCCAAUGCACAGUCGAUUCUUACUGGUUGUUUGUUUGUUAUUGCUCUUGUAUCUUGGUUAAGCUUGGCUCUGAUAUGUAGGGCAAGCUGGUGAGAUGAAUCUAAAGGUCAUGACAUGUAGUUGCAUGCCAAGAUAAUAAACACAGUUACAUCAUCA
Long non-coding RNA from Cyprinus carpio (common carp), 2421 nucleotides. RefSeq lists it as uncharacterized. The record is from RefSeq and is a predicted model, not a curated record. The transcript has 2 exons. NCBI's taxonomy places the organism in Eukaryota, Metazoa, Chordata, Actinopteri, Cypriniformes, Cyprinidae.